Molecule: long non-coding RNA, 1092 nt
Organism: Mya arenaria
Lineage: Eukaryota; Metazoa; Mollusca; Bivalvia; Myida; Myidae
Exons: 4
Source: RefSeq, a predicted model, not a curated record
UGUCAACGUUAUGCCUAUUGUUAUUUUGGACUAUAGGGUGUAGUUUUUAAAGUCAUACACAAUAUGGCGGCGAUUAUGCGGAAAUGAAAUUGAAUGUUACUUCGAACACGUUCUUCUACAAAAUAACCGACCUGUAUUUAGUGCUAUUGCUUUAACAUCAAUCGAAGCAAAAAUGGCAUCAAUGUAUGCGUCUAAAAAUGUUAAAUUUAGAUGGAGACAAUCCAGAAAUGAGCUGCCAGGAAGUGAUCGAUUUCGGACACGAAGAUUGAGGAGUGCCUGGAUACAAGGCUAGUAUUGUUAACAUCAUUUGAUACAAUCAACUGGAACAAAGCUGAAAUGGCUGCCUGACCUGACUUAAAAAUUGGAUGGCAGUACAUCAGACUAGAAGAUUACAAGUAUUGAGGUGGACAAAAUGAAACCUGAGCCUACCAAAGCUGACAGAUUGCACAAGAAACACAUAAAUGCAGAUUGGAAGAUUCAUUCUCUGGAAAGUAGAAAAGGGCAUGUUACAUACUGUUAUCACUGCCAUGACAGAAACCAUAUUGAGGAGCUGGUCCACCUGUAGGAAGAAUUGCGCUAUUGGUUGGAGCAGCACUAUUACCCAACCAUACACCAGCACUUAGUUUGUCAUAGGGAGCAUUUCUGAGCAGUUAUGGAGACCACUAACUAUGCAGUUGUUGCAGUGAAACUUGCACCAGUGUGUUUUCUGUGGAGAUAAAGAGAUAGUGUCCAGCAAUGAAGACCCAACUCAAGAUCUGACCUUGUAAGGCCAAUAUGAAAUAACUGUGUUUGAAAAUGGGAAAAACCUGCAGUCAGGAAUGCACGGAAAUCAUCAAAAGAACAGUGUUAAAUUAAUCUUGAAUAACUUGACAUUUAUUUUGUUUGACAUAUUUAUUCAUGGUGCAGUGAAAACAUUCUUUUUUUCUCAUGGUUAUUUAAAUUCAGAAUUGAUAGGAGGGAACAUCACUAUGUAGUUUCAUGUUCAUAGUCAGAUCAAAACCCAUGUACAUGCCCAAAUGAGCAUUCGAAAAUAUCAAAAUGGUACUUGUUGUAUGUAGUGUAAGUUAAUUAACAUAAUAAACAAAAAUAUUU